GGGGAAUAUUGCACAAUGGGCGGAAGCCUGAUGCAGCAACGCCGCGUGAGGGAUGACGGCCUUCGGGUUGUAAACCUCUUUUAGCAGGGAAGAAGCGAGAGUGACGGUACCUGCAGAAAAAGCGCCGGCUAACUACGUGCCAGCAGCCGCGGUAAUACGUAGGGCGCAAGCGUUAUCCGGAAUUAUUGGGCGUAAAGAGCUCGUAGGCGGUUUGUCGCGUCUGCUGUGAAAUCCCGAGGCUCAACCUCGGGCCUGCAGUGGGUACGGGCAGACUAGAGUGCGGUAGGGGAGAUUGGAAUUCCUGGUGUAGCGGUGGAAUGCGCAGAUAUCAGGAGGAACACCGAUGGCGAAGGCAGAUCUCUGGGCCGUAACUGACGCUGAGGAGCGAAAGGGUGGGGAGCAAACAGGCUUAGAUACCCUGGUAGUCCACCCCGUAAACGUUGGGAACUAGUUGUGGGGACCAUUC
Molecule: ribosomal RNA, 466 nt
Filed under: Microbacterium sp.
Lineage: Bacteria; Bacillati; Actinomycetota; Actinomycetes; Micrococcales; Microbacteriaceae
Description: bacterial SSU rRNA
Rfam family: Bacterial small subunit ribosomal RNA
Source: RNAcentral